Long non-coding RNA from Sitophilus oryzae (rice weevil), 910 nucleotides. RefSeq lists it as uncharacterized. The transcript has 2 exons. NCBI's taxonomy places the organism in Eukaryota, Metazoa, Arthropoda, Insecta, Coleoptera, Curculionidae. The record is from RefSeq and is a predicted model, not a curated record.
UUUGAACAAGGAAUCGCCCCCUGAAGUUUUUCGCAUUUGUUUUGAAACACCCUGUAUAUUUGUUUUUUUUUGUCAUUCUUCUGAAUUUUCUCACAAUUCAUCUCUCAUUUUUAUGCCACUUUGUCCAAUUCAUCAUAGUAUCUCUAUUCCAUUAUUAUUUAUACUCAUAUUUUUUAUUGGAAUUCAUCACUCUUCAAUAAUAUUUCAACAUUUGUAUUGCCUGUAUAGAAUUGGUUAUUUUUUUUUUCGUUUUUCAUUUUUUUCAAUUUAUCAUAACUCUAUUUCACUAUUUGUCUCUCAUAUUUUCUUCAUUAUCGGAAUGCCAUUCAUGAAUUCUAUAAACCCCUCCAUUGGUCGUAUUUCUAAGUCUUUUUAUAUGUAUAUAACUACAUAUAUAAUUUUUUGUAUUAUUCUCCUAAAACUGUUCUAAGUUCAUCGCUCGUUUUUUAUACAUAUAGUUUUUUUUACACAAGGCCAUUUUAUUUCUAUAUUGUCUAUAUAGAUUUUGUUGUUUAUUUUACUGCUAUUUGAUAUUUGAUUUCAUUUCUAUUGAUGGCUACAUGGAAUUCAUAAUUUUGGAUUCAUUUUCUUGUUGGUUUACUUUUCAUUCUUUUUAAAAUUGAGUUUUUGAAUGGGAUACUGUAUUGCUUUGGAACAAAGACUUUUGGGACAGAUGCAAAUCAACAAUCAACAGUGGAUUGAGAAUGAAAUCAAAUUCAUCAUUGAAGAGAAAGCUAAAUGAUUUUAGAAUCAAGAUUUUCUAGAAGGGUAGCUAGAAGAUUUUCCUACUUCCACAUAGACAUCAGCAUGUCCGCCAACACCUUGGAUGUUAAUAUUCUUUUUAUAUUACUAUUGUUAAUAAAAUGAUGUAUGUUAAUAAAUAAAAGUGUUAUAAUCAGUGAUAAAAAAA